Molecule: ribosomal RNA, 456 nt
Filed under: uncultured bacterium
Lineage: Bacteria
Description: bacterial SSU rRNA
Rfam family: Bacterial small subunit ribosomal RNA
Source: RNAcentral
AACGAACGCUGGCGGCAUGCCUAACACAUGCAAGUCGAACGAGACCUUCGGGUCUAGUGGCGCACGGGUGCGUAACGCGUGGGAAUCUGCCCUUCGGUUCGGAAUAACUCAGGGAAACUUGAGCUAAUACCGGAUAAUGACGUAAGUCCAAAGAUUUAUCGCCGAAGGAUGAGCCCGCGUAGGAUUAGCUUGUUGGUGGGGUAAUGGCCCACCAAGGCGACGAUCCUUAGCUGGUCUGAGAGGAUGAUCAGCCACACUGGGACUGAGACACGGCCCAGACUCCUACGGGAGGCAGCAGUGGGGAAUAUUGGACAAUGGGCGAAAGCCUGAUCCAGCAAUGCCGCGUGAGUGAUGAAGGCCUUAGGGUUGUAAAGCUCUUUUACCCGGGAUGAUAAUGACAGUACCCGUAGAGAAGCUCCGGCUAACUUCGUGCCAGCAGCCGCGGUAAUGUCUAGC